This 114-nucleotide ribosomal RNA is filed under the name Lichtheimia sp. HMUT131009. RNAcentral describes it as "partial 28S ribosomal RNA". The record is from RNAcentral. Lineage: Eukaryota; Fungi; Mucoromycota; Mucoromycetes; Mucorales; Lichtheimiaceae.
UGCACAGUGCUUUUAGAGCAGCUUGGUUAGUGAGUUCAUAAUCCCAGGCAGAAGUCUCUCUUAGAACUAGUCAAAAUCUUACGGUCCAGCGACUGAAUCCUUUCCGGAGGUGCA